This 459-nucleotide long non-coding RNA is filed under the name Mytilus galloprovincialis (Mediterranean mussel). Lineage: Eukaryota; Metazoa; Mollusca; Bivalvia; Mytilida; Mytilidae. The record is from RNAcentral.
AUUCCCCAAAACCAAAAAGUGGAUUUUUUCACAGUUUUUCCGUUUCCAUGGUAACGGCGGACAUCUUGAAAGUGCCAACCCCAAAAAGCAAAUCUUCACAUGGUGGUUAACAUUAUGGUAUAGUUCCAUCUUCUUUGGUCCAUUUAUAUUAGAGUUCCAGACUGGACAAAAAAGUGUGGAAGAAAAAUAAUAAUAAAGAUAAAAAAAACUAGAUUUGUAAUUGCUAGCAAUAACGGAUGGCACCCUCGUCCCCCCAUUGCCAGGCGAGCAGCAGCCAUUUUGGAAAUUCCAAAGUCAAAGAGUGCAUCUACACCUGCAAAUUAUCAUUUUUGCAAAAAUUUCAUUAAGUUUGGAGCAUUUUGAAAUUUUGGACAAUUUUGCUGUUUCCAUGGUUACGGCGGCCAUUUUGGAAAUUCCAACUUCAAAAUGCAACUCUGCACAUGUCAGUCACUAUUCCUG